UAGGAAGUACGUCGAAAGGAAACAUACAAGUUUGCAUAUUCUGCAGCUCAAAAUGUCGCUUCUCAGGGAUAAUCAUAUCGCUUGUGAACUGACUGCAGUGCGUGGUUUUGUCUCGGUGCAACCUUUCGAAAUACUUUGGGCUCAGGAAAAAGAUGCUCUUCCAAGUUGUUCAUUGCUCUUGAUCUUAUUGGCAGGAACAGAGAUGUUCUGCUUAUGUUGUCCGAUGAUGGAUGGGUGAUAAACUCUUUGCAUUCACGAUUAACACACAUCUCGUGGGCUUCAUCUACGCCCACAGAGUGACCUGGUCUUCCAAGCAAGCUGACAGUGAAACCGCCUUUCUCCAGAUUGGCCAAGACAUCCUUAGUCUUCUAGCAACUCCCUCAGUGUGCUAUCUUGGGUCUCGGAGGGGGGAGAUUUCUCACCCGGUCUGAGGCAGUCUGAAGAAAGUCUGUUGGAAUCACCUCGGAAAAGGGACAGAAUAAAUCGAUAUAGAGAUUCCCAAACAUCCAUCAGAAAAUGGUGAGUCCUCUUAAAGUUUGACGUUAUGGAAUUGGGGGUGUUGUAACCACUGGACCUACCAAGGUCUUCUUGGUAAUUUUUUAAUAGAUGCCAGUUACCUGAUGCCAGUUACCUGGAAAAGGAAUGCACCAUGAAAGGUCACUGCCAUACUCAGCCUUGAGUGAUUGCAAUCGCUCAUAUGUUGCCUGAUCCCCUUCUGUAGAACCAUAGUUUGCUUCUUGGUGACAAUAAACUCAGUAUAGAGAUCAUUGAUCACACUAAGUAGGGUUUGGUUGUCAUCGCAUCUCUGAUCUAGGACCUUGUAAUAAAUUACAUUUGAUCUCUCAACUAUUCCUAGAUUAUUACCCGAGGCGCGCGUGGGCGGUUACGGGUAUAGUAGUCGUUUGGUUCGUCUGUUUGUCUGUUUGUAAGUUCAGGAUCUGCUCACCUGGCUGCCACAGCACUGCGUUUACAGCAUGGAUAGCCUAGCCUUCACACAAUAAGUUAUUAGUUUUAAUAUUCUAUGUUAAAGCUUGUUGUAGAAUAAAAGCUAAGGAACUUGGAACUUUCACGUUACCUGGCUAGCUAGCUAGCUAACACUGUUACACGCGGCUCUUAUUCGAAACAGUUUUAAUGAUCAUCUACACAUGCGCAUGGUGAUAACCAAGCCCAUCCACGUGGUUUUAGUUCACUCUACCAAUGCAGAGCUACUCUCAUCUAUCUGGAUCUGGAAGACUACUGAACACUUGAAGAAAUGCCCUUCUCGAAACCUUGUCCCCAAUGUGGGGGUAAGGUUCACAUCAGGACACUGAGGUGUCCACAUUGUGACCAUGUUCUACAGUCCCUUACUGUUACUGUAGAUCAGAGAUUACGUAGAAAGCGCAAUGCAGCAUCUAC
Long non-coding RNA from Halichondria panicea, 1395 nucleotides. RefSeq lists it as uncharacterized. The record is from RefSeq and is a predicted model, not a curated record. The transcript has 3 exons. NCBI's taxonomy places the organism in Eukaryota, Metazoa, Porifera, Demospongiae, Suberitida, Halichondriidae.